AAUCAACGCUGGCGGCGCGCCUAACACAUGCAAGUCGAACGAGAAAGCAGGAGCAAUCUUGUGAGUAAAGUGGCGUACGGGUGAGUAACACGUGGAUCAUCUACCCUCUUGUGGGGGAUAACCCUGGGAAACCGGGGCUAAUACCGCAUAAGUCCGAGAGGAGAAAGCAGCAAUGCGCAGGAGGAGGAGUCCGCGGCCGAUUAGCUAGUUGGUAGGGUAAAAGCCUACCAAGGCAACGAUCGGUAGCCGGCCUGAGAGGGCACACGGCCACACUGGCACUGAAACACGGGCCAGACUCCUACGGGAGGCAGCAGUGGGGAAUCUUGCACAAUGGGGGCAACCCUGAUGCAGCGACGCCGCGUGAGCGAUGAAGCCCUU
Molecule: ribosomal RNA, 378 nt
Filed under: uncultured bacterium
Lineage: Bacteria
Description: bacterial SSU rRNA
Rfam family: Bacterial small subunit ribosomal RNA
Source: RNAcentral